AAAAAAGGAGUUGCAUUUUAUUUUAAGACGAUAAAGUGACAUGAUAUCCCUAAUAUUGCCAUUACUUUGUUACUGCCAUUUCUAGCAUCACACCACCACUAAUGAACUUUAGCUAAUACUAAGGGAACAUUUAGAAACUUAAAUUUAUCCGUAAAAGUCAUCGUUUUAGAGAUCUAUCUCUAAUUUUGGAAUGGAGGGAGUAGUUAUGUUUCCCUUUAUUAUGAAUGCAAUUUAGGCACCAUAUUGUGAAGUGUAUUGCCGAGUGCUGAUCGUUGAGAGUUAUAUGGUGCAUAUGUCUGUAUCUAUUUCCUUUGUUCAGAAGGCUAAUCUUCUCUCCCAUUUUCUGUAUUAUUUAAAAAUCUUUCAUACCAAAUAUGAAUGUUAUAUCUUACUCAUAUUUUCAAUGUAUUCUAGUAUACUUUUAUUGUUUAAGCACUCCACGCUGAUUGAACAAGUUUGUAUGUUUUUUCGGUCAGUUGUUUUAUGUUUCUUUAGUUUAGCAUGGUUAACAAUCUCUCAUCCCAUUGGCUCACUUAAUUUGACAGCAUAGUUCUAUAAAUUUAGGAUUAGGAAAAGAAAUGGUUGGAAAAGAGACAUUUCCUAAUACCUCUUGGGUUUUUGGAAGUUAUUUGACUUGGGCAAUCUGUACACUGUACUGCUGCUUAGAUUAUUUUAAUUGUGUCAUUUAUAUGGUUGGAAAAGAGACAUUUCCUAAUACCUCUUGGGUUUUUGGAAGUUAUUUGACUUGGGCAAUCUGUACACUGUACUGCUGCUUAGAUUAUUUUAAUUGUGUCAUUUAUAUGAGUUUUAAUGGUUUAUAACUUGUUCCAUGUUUUUUGAAUUCAGUGGAUUUGUGUGAUUUCUAUUUUGAAAUCUAUUUAUUGCAAUAGUUUUAAAUUGGUGAUUGGUUGUGUUUACAGUCCCGCUUGCUUGAUACAAUGUCCUUUAUAGAUCCACUUCCUCCAUUCAGAAUAAAGCAGUGGCAAGUGAUUGUUCUUCUGUUUAUUGAUGCUCUUUCUGUUUCUCGGAUCCCUUCAAUCAUCCCACACAUGACAAGUGGGAGAAGGUUGUUUCACAAGGUGAGAUCCUG
RNAcentral lists this long non-coding RNA (1090 nucleotides) under Panax ginseng (ginseng). RNAcentral's name for it is "long non-coding RNA (PGIN_LNC017744)". Lineage: Eukaryota; Viridiplantae; Streptophyta; Magnoliopsida; Apiales; Araliaceae. The record is from RNAcentral.